RNAcentral lists this transfer RNA (84 nucleotides) under Akkermansiaceae bacterium. Its description in RNAcentral is "tRNA-Leu". It matches the Rfam family "tRNA". From Rfam's summary of the family: Transfer RNA (tRNA) molecules are approximately 80 nucleotides in length. Their secondary structure includes four short double-helical elements and three loops (D, anti-codon, and T loops). Lineage: Bacteria; Pseudomonadati; Verrucomicrobiota; Verrucomicrobiia; Verrucomicrobiales; Akkermansiaceae. The record is from RNAcentral.
GCUCGGAUGGCGGAAUUGGUAGACGCGCUAGACUAAGGAUCUAGUGGGCGCAAGCCCGUGGAGGUUCGAUUCCUCUUUCGAGCA